Molecule: long non-coding RNA, 342 nt
Organism: Cyanistes caeruleus (blue tit)
Lineage: Eukaryota; Metazoa; Chordata; Aves; Passeriformes; Paridae
Source: RefSeq, a predicted model, not a curated record
CAGCAAUCCUGCAAGAGGGAGUGAGGCUUCUGAGAACACACUCAUCUCUAUCUCCCUACUGCCAGUGUUGGUCUCAUAUGGAUGUCACUUAAACUGAAACUAAUUAAGAAACAUCUGCAGACAACAAAACAGUGUCAAGUGUGAACAACAAAAUUUCUUCUAAGAGAAGAGUAGAGCACACUCUCAACAAUUCUGGGAAAGCUCUGUCCAAACAAAUGCCAUGUUUAUGUCCUCACUGGAGUUCCAGUGUGUUUCAACCUGUCUCUCAAGAGCGCUGCAAACCAAGACAGUUUGACCCAGACAUUGCAAUCAGCAAUACUAAUUAAAUUUCAAACACCAUCA